ACUACGGGAGGCAGCAGUGAGGAAUAUUGGUCAAUGGCCGUAAGGCUGAACCAGCCAAGUCGCGUGAAGGAAGAAGGAUCUAUGGUUUGUAAACUUCUUUUAUAGGGGAAUAAAGGGAUCCACGUGUGGAUAUUUGCAUGUACCCUAUGAAUAAGCAUGGGCUAACUCCGUGCCAGCAGCCGCGGUAAUACGGGGGAUGCGAGCGUUAUCCGGAUUUAUUGGGUUUAAAGGGUGCGUAGGGGGUUUUUUAAGUCAGCGGUGAAAGUUUGUGGCUCAACCAUAAAAUUGCCGUUGAAAAUGGCAGACUUGAGUGUGUUUGCGGUAGGCGUAAUGCGUGGUGUAGCGGUGAAAUGCAUAGAUAUCACGCAGAACUCCGAUUGCGAAGGCAGCUUACUAAGCCAUAACUGACACUGACGCACGAAAGCGUGGGGAUCAAACAGGAUUAGAUACCCCUGUAGUC
This 460-nucleotide ribosomal RNA is filed under the name uncultured bacterium. RNAcentral's name for it is "partial 16S ribosomal RNA". It matches the Rfam family "Bacterial small subunit ribosomal RNA", at positions 338 to 795 of the family's 1533-position model. The record is from RNAcentral.